Molecule: ribosomal RNA, 446 nt
Filed under: uncultured bacterium
Lineage: Bacteria
Description: partial 16S ribosomal RNA
Rfam family: Bacterial small subunit ribosomal RNA
Source: RNAcentral
CCCAGACUCCUACGGGAGGCAGCAGUGGGGGAUAUUGCACAAUGGGGGGAACCCUGAUGCAGCGACGCCGCGUGGGUGAAGGAGCGUUUCGGCGCGUAAAGCCCUCUCGGCAGGGAAGAAGGAGGACGGUACCUGACUAAGAAGCCCCGGCUAACUACGUGCCAGCAGCCGCGGUAAUACGUAGGGGGCCAGCGUUAUCCGGAUUUACUGGGUGUAAAGGGGGCGCAGACGGCAGCGCAAGCCAGGAGUGAAAGCCCGGGGCCCAACCCCGGGACUGCUCUUGGAACUGCGCGGCUGGAGUGCAGGAGGGGCAGGCGGAAUUCCUGGUGUAGCGGUGAAAUGCGUAGAUAUCAGGAGGAACACCGGUGGCGAAGGCGGCCUGCUGGACUGCGACUGACGUUGAGGCCCGAAAGCGUGGGGAGCAAACAGGAUUAGAUACCCGAGUA